RNAcentral lists this ribosomal RNA (206 nucleotides) under Pasteurella multocida subsp. multocida. Its description in RNAcentral is "partial 16S ribosomal RNA". The stretch from base 1 to 93 matches the Rfam family "Bacterial small subunit ribosomal RNA", at positions 1441 to 1533 of the family's 1533-position model. The record is from RNAcentral. Lineage: Bacteria; Pseudomonadati; Pseudomonadota; Gammaproteobacteria; Pasteurellales; Pasteurellaceae.
UUUUGGAGCCAGCCGCCUAAGGUGGGACAGAUGAUUGGGGUGAAGUCGUAACAAGGUAGCCGUAUCGGAAGGUGCGGCUGGAUCACCUCCUUUCUAUGGAGAAUUGAUGAACGAUGUUCAUCAAUAUAAGUUUCCGUGUUUCGUUUUGUUCAGUUUUGAGAGAACUAUCUCUCAUAUAUAAAUGUAUGUUCUUUGAAAACUAGAUA